This 261-nucleotide ribosomal RNA is filed under the name uncultured bacterium. Its description in RNAcentral is "partial 16S ribosomal RNA". It matches the Rfam family "Bacterial small subunit ribosomal RNA", at positions 793 to 1055 of the family's 1533-position model. The record is from RNAcentral.
GUCCACGCUGUAAACGAUGAAUACUAGGUGUCUGGUGUCAAAGCUAGGUGCCGCAGCUAACGCAUUAAGUAUUCCGCCUGGGGGAGUACGCACGCAAGUGUGAAACUCAAAGGAAUUGACGGGGACCCGCACAAGCAGCGGAGCAUGUGGUUUAAUUCGAAGCAACGCGAAGAACCUUACAAGGUCUUGACAUCCUUCUGACCGAUCCUUAGCCGGAUCUUCCCUUCGGGGCAGAAGAGACAGGUGGUGCAUGGUUGUCGU